GUGGGGAAUAUUGGGCAAUGGGGGAAACCCUAACCCAGCGACGCCGCGUGAGGGAAGACGGCCUUCGGGUUGUAAACCUCUUUUGUACGGGAAGAAGGAAGUGACGGUACUGUACGAAUAAGUCCCGGCUAACUACGUGCCAGCAGCCGCGGUAAUACGUAGGGGACGAGCGUUGUCCGGAAUUACUGGGCGUAAAGGGCGCGCCGACUGUGCUGCAAGUCAGCUGUGAAAUGUCUGGGCUUAACCCGGGCAUGCGGUUGAGACUGGAGUGCUGGAGUGCUGUAGAGGCAAGUGUAAGUCCCAGUGUAGCGGUGAAAUGCGUAGAUAUUGGGAAGAACCCCGGUGGCGAAGGCGACUUGCUGGGCAGCAACGGACGCUGAGGCGCGAAAGUGUGGGGAGCAAACAGGAUUAGAUACCCGAGUAGUCC
RNAcentral lists this ribosomal RNA (427 nucleotides) under uncultured bacterium. Its description in RNAcentral is "partial 16S ribosomal RNA". It matches the Rfam family "Bacterial small subunit ribosomal RNA", at positions 354 to 796 of the family's 1533-position model. The record is from RNAcentral.